UUAAAAUAUUCCAUCUCGAACGAUUACGACGAUCUCAACCAUGGGCUGAAAAUUGCUAAUUAGAUCCAGAUUCAAAGGAAAAUACGAUUGCGACGCAAAAUCUGGGUGCACGCUAUGAGGGAGUGCAGAGAGUGGGGAAUCCCCGGAUCCUUCGAAACGAGUAUAAAAGGACUUUUGAAAUUUUCUGUUGCCAUCAGUUUCCCAGUUCUCAUCAGGUAUAUCUGAAACAGAGGUCAAUAGAAUGAAUAAAAUUCUGAUUGUCGUACUCGCGGUGCUCCUGGUCGGGACAUUGGCAUCACCCGUUGCUCAGCAGAGCGAGGAGUCAGCUGUCGAGACUACCCCGGCUGUCCGAGAGGUCCGUGCUGCAGAGCCCGAUCGUCAUGGUGGAAAACAUGGGCAUGAUCACUAUCAUGACAGGUAUCACCAUGACAAGCACUGGCAUGGAAAACAUCACUGAGAUGGACGUGAAUAAUGGGAGAUGACCAGGAGAGCUCCAGGUAGAUGCUCAUAUCGAAAUCAAAGUAGUUCGACUCUCAAUAACAAUUUUGAAUAUUUUAUUUUGAAGUUUUCCAAGUGAAUAAUGUAACGAAGAAUUAAAAAAUCAUUCAAUCAG
Molecule: long non-coding RNA, 613 nt
Organism: Diachasmimorpha longicaudata
Lineage: Eukaryota; Metazoa; Arthropoda; Insecta; Hymenoptera; Braconidae
Exons: 2
Source: RefSeq, a predicted model, not a curated record